AUCUUUCGCAAUGGACGAAAGUCUGACGGAGCAACGCCGCGUGAGUGAUGAAGGCUUUCGGGUCGUAAAACUCUGUUGUUAGGGAAGAACAAGUGUUAGUUGAAUAAGCUGGCACCUUGAUGGUACCUAACCAGAAAGCCACUGCCAACUACGUGCCAGCAGCCGCGGUAAUACGUAGGCGGCAAGCGUUCUCCGGAAUUAUUGGGCGUAAAGCGCGCGCAGGUGGUUUCUUAAGUCUGGUGUGAAAGCCCACGGCUCAACCGUGGAGGGUCAUUGGAAACUGGGAGACUUGAGUGCAGAAGAGGAAAGUGGAAUUCCAUGUGUAGCGGUGAAAUGCGUAGAGAUAUGGAGGAACACCAGUGGCGAAGGCGACUUUCUGGUCUGUAACUGACACUGAGGCGCGAAAGCGUGGGGAGCAAACAG
Molecule: ribosomal RNA, 423 nt
Filed under: uncultured bacterium
Lineage: Bacteria
Description: bacterial SSU rRNA
Rfam family: Bacterial small subunit ribosomal RNA
Source: RNAcentral